RNAcentral lists this long non-coding RNA (420 nucleotides) under Lepidothrix coronata (blue-crowned manakin). Its description in RNAcentral is "lncRNA (ENSLCOG00000009730.1)". The record is from RNAcentral. Lineage: Eukaryota; Metazoa; Chordata; Aves; Passeriformes; Pipridae.
CCGGGUUGGAAUUUUGGCGGGUGCCGAGGAGCGCGCGCGGCGAGAAUACUUUUCCCUGGGGGACUCUUGAAGAAAUCCCAGUGAAAUCAUGGACGCUGAUGAUGACUUGGAUAUGUUGGCCUCCCUCCUGGAAGAAAGUGAAGCAACUGAGGAGAGGAAUUCUCCUGAGGAGGAAGAUGCCCCAGAGGAUGAGGGGGGAGAGCCAGAUGAAUACGAUGAGCUGUUUGAUGCAGAAGAUGAUGCGUCCUACACCGAGGAGGUCAGUGCUGAGGAUAGCAUGACUGAUGAGCAGAAGGAGAACCUGGCUGCACUGUUUGGAGAUGUAGAUGACCUGCUGGAAGAGGAGGAGGCAGAGGAAGCUUCCCCCAGUUCAGCUCCCAGUCAGGCAAAGGAGAAAACCAAUGAAGAACUUCAAGGUUU